UACGAAGGGGGCUAGCGUUGCUCGGAAUCACUGGGCGUAAAGCGCACGUAGGCGGCUUUCUAAGUCAGGGGUGAAAUCCUGGAGCUGAACUCCAGAACUGCCUUUGAUACUGGAGAGCUUGAGUCCGGGAGAGGUGAGUGGAACUCCGAGUGUAGAGGUGAAAUUCGUAGAUAUUCGGAAGAACACCAGUGGCGAAGGCGGCUCACUGGCCCGGUACUGACGCUGAUGUGCGAAAGCGUGGGGAGCAAACAGG
This 253-nucleotide ribosomal RNA is filed under the name uncultured bacterium. RNAcentral's name for it is "partial 16S ribosomal RNA". It matches the Rfam family "Bacterial small subunit ribosomal RNA", at positions 524 to 776 of the family's 1533-position model. The record is from RNAcentral.